This 475-nucleotide ribosomal RNA is filed under the name Ralstonia pickettii. RNAcentral's name for it is "bacterial SSU rRNA". It matches the Rfam family "Bacterial small subunit ribosomal RNA", at positions 373 to 841 of the family's 1533-position model. The record is from RNAcentral. Lineage: Bacteria; Pseudomonadati; Pseudomonadota; Betaproteobacteria; Burkholderiales; Burkholderiaceae.
GGGCGAAAGCCUGAUCCAGCAAUGCCGCGUGUGUGAAGAAGGCCUUCGGGUUGUAAAGCACUUUUGUCCGGAAAGAAAUGGCUCUGGUUAAUACCUGGAGUCGAUGACGGUACCGGAAGAAUAAGGACCGGCUAACUACGUGCCAGCAGCCGCGGUAAUACGUAGGGUCCAAGCGUUAAUCGGAAUUACUGGGCGUAAAGCGUGCGCAGGCGGUUGUGCAAGACCGAUGUGAAAUCCCCGGGCUUAACCUGGGAAUUGCAUUGGUGACUGCACGGCUAGAGUGUGUCAGAGGGGGGUAGAAUUCCACGUGUAGCAGUGAAAUGCGUAGAGAUGUGGAGGAAUACCGAUGGCGAAGGCAGCCCCCUGGGAUAACACUGACGCUCAUGCACGAAAGCGUGGGGAGCAAACAGGAUUAGAUACCCUGGUAGUCCACGCCCUAAACGAUGUCAACUAGUUGUUGGGGAUUCAUUUCCUU